AUGAACGUGUUAAACUGGAACUGCCGGGGAGGGGGGAAUACCCUGACAGUUCGUGAAAUAGCGACGCUUGUACAGUCGCAUUCCCCAAGUUUGGUGUUCUUGUGUGAAACCAGGCAAAAGGAAGAGAGGUUGAAGAGACUAAGAGGUCGUCUUGGCCUGAAAGGUUUUGAGUGCGUGGACUGUAAUGGACUAAGUGGUGGUCUUGCAUUAUUUUGGCAUGAAAAUUGCCUGGUUGAUAUCCUUGAUAAGGACGAGAGAGAUAUUGAUAUAACAGUGCGCUUGCAUGCUGAUGCUGAACAGUGGAGAGUGACUUUUGUGUAUGGGGAACCUCGGGUGGAGAAUAGGCACUUCAUGUGGGAAAAGAUGCAGUACUUGUACUCGUCAUCGGAUCUCCCCUGGCUAGUUAUAGGAUAUUUUAAUGAAUGCCUAUGGAACUUUGAGCACAUGUCCAUGACACCAAGACAAGAACCACAGAUGUUGGCUUUUCGUGAUGUGUUGGAAACUUGUCAACUAAUUGAUUUGGGGUUCUCGGGGAUUCCCUUUACUUAUGAUAACAAGAGAAGUGGUGCUGCAAAUGUUAAAGUUCGCUUGGACCGGGCUGUUGCUUCAAGUGCAUGGCGUAAUAUGUUUGCUUUUGCUUCUGUGACUCAUGUAGUUUCGCCGUGCUCUGACCAUGUAGCGUUGGUGCUUAAGGGCUCUCCGGACCCAGGGCCGACGAGAGGAAGGGUGCGUCAGUAUGAAAUAUUUUGGGAACGAAGUGAUGAACUACCAGAGCUGAUCAAGGAUGCAUGGGAGUCUGUUGGUGCUGUAUAG
Molecule: ribosomal RNA, 813 nt
Filed under: Triticum aestivum (bread wheat)
Lineage: Eukaryota; Viridiplantae; Streptophyta; Magnoliopsida; Poales; Poaceae
Description: partial small subunit ribosomal RNA
Source: RNAcentral